UUCUCCUGAAGUGAAAGUGUUUCUCUUUCAGCUGAGACGCCGUUUUGUUGUUGUUGGGAGAAAAUAAUAAUAAAAACUCCAACUCCAGGCAGAACCGGUGAGAUUAAUGAAACCCAGCAUGGAGUGCUGAGUAAAAGAGUGUAAUUCAUUCAGUCCAAGAGAUCUGGGUCUUCAGAGAUCCGGGUCUUCAGGAAUCAGCAGUGAGUCCAUGAGCUGUGUGUCCAUACACUAAUAUUCAAAAAUGGAGAGCCGUGAUCUGGACACAGAUAAUGUGACCCCACCCUCAGAAAAGCGUAAACUCCAGAUGAAGAGAUCAGACUCUCCAGAACCCAGCUGUGUCUCCAUGAAGAGUGAUUGGUCUAUGGAUCCUCCUUUGGACUUUAACACUGGAAACCCCUCAUCUGUCCACAGUAAACUCCAGAUGAAGAGAUCAGACUCACCAGAACCCAGCUGUGUCUCCAUGAAGAGUGAUGGGUCUAUGAAUCCUCCUUUGUUCUUUAACAGUGGAAACCUCUCAUCUGUCCACAGUGUUUUACAGAAGGCAGGAGACAGAAGAGAAAAGAUCUUCAUCACAGAUACAGGGCAUGCCCCAGAAUCUGCUGCUGGAAAUGACGUCCGGAAAAAAAUCAGAUUAAAUCUGAUGAAGUUUCAGUGCUUAAAUGAAGUGAUAAUAAAGCAGGAAAACCGAGUGCUCCUGAAUGAGAUCUACACAGAGCUCUACAUCACAGAGGGAGACAGUGGAGACGUCAAUAAAGAACAUGAGGUGAGACAGAUCGAGGCAGCGUCCAGGAGAAAAACAACAGAGGAAACACCAAUCAAAUGCAACGACAUCUUUAAGCCCUUAUCUGAAGAAGACGAACCCAUCAGAACUGUAGUGACAAAGGGAGUGGCUGGUAUCGGAAAAACAGUCUCUGUGCAGAAGUUCAUUGUGGACUGGGCUGAAGGGAAAGCAAAUCAGGACGUCCCCCUCAUAUUUCCACUUCCUUUCAGAGAGCUGAAUCUGAUGGAGGACCAAAACCUGAGUCUGAUGGAGCUCCUUCAUGUCUAUUUUAAGGAAACCAAAGAAACAGAAAUGUCCGGGUUGGGAAAGGUUCUGUUCAUUUUUGAUGGAUUGGACGAGUGUCGUUUCCCUCUGGAUUUCCAGAACACAGUGAGUGUGUGUGAUGUAACUGAAUCAGCAUCAGUGCAUGUGCUGCUGAUAAACCUGAUCAAAGGGAAUCUGCUUCCCUCUGCUCUCAUCUGGAUCACCUCCCGACCAGCAGCAGCUGAUCAAAUCCCCUCUGAGUACGUCCACCGAGUCACAGAGGUACGAGGGUUCAAUGACCCUCAGAAGGAGGAGUACUUCAGGAAGAGGGUCAGUGAUCAGAGCCUGGCCGAGAACAUCAUCACACACCUGAAGUCAUUAAGAAGCCUCUACAUCAUGUGUCACAUCCCAGUCUUCUGCUGGAUUUCAGCCGCUGUUCUAGAGAGAAUGUUGGGUGAAGCAGAUAGUAGAAAGAUCCCCAAGACUCUGACUCAAAUGUACACACACUUCCUCAUCAUUCACACCAACACCAUCAGAGGAAAGUACUCAAAGAAGCAGGAGAGUGAUGAAGAAAUUCUUCUCAAACUGGGAAAACUGGCUUUUCAGCAGCUGGAGAAAGGCAACCUGAUCUUCUAUGAGGAAGACCUGAGAGAGUGUGGCAUUGAUGUGACAGAAGCAGUAGUGUACUCGGGUGUGUGUACGCAGAUCUUCAGAGAGGAGGUUGGGCUUCACCAGAGUAAAGUGUACUGCUUUGUUCAUCUGAGCGUUCAGGAGCAUCUCGCAGCUCUGUAUGUUCAUCUGACCUUCAUGAAGGAAAAGAGAAAUGUUCUUGAUCAGAGUCAGUCCAGUAAUUUGUGUUUUUGGUCCUUUAAGACAAUUUCAGAUGUACACAAGAUGGCUGUAGAUCAGACCUUAAAAAGUCAGACUGGACAUCUGGAUCUGUUCCUCCGCUUUCUUCUGGGUCUCUCACUGAAGUCCAAUCAGAAACUCUUACGUGCCUUAGUAACACAGACAGGAAGUAGCUCCUGGACAAGAAAGAGGAAAACAGUUCAGUACAUUAAGGAGAAGAUCAGUGAAAAUCUUCCUGCAGAAAAAUCCAUCAAUCUGUUCCACUGUCUGAAUGAACUGGGUGACGAUUCUCUAGUGGAGGAAAUCCAACGCUACGUAAAAUCUGGAAAACAAAGUAAAUUCUCUCCUUCACAGUGGUCUGCUCUGGUGUUUGUGUUACUGACUUCAGCACAGGAGCUGGAGGAGUUUGACCUGAGUAAAUAUACCAGUACAGAGAAGAUAACAGAUGAGGUUCUUGUGAAGGUGAUGCCUGUGAUUUCAGCAUCCAGAAAAGCAAUGAUCAGUUGUGAUACGAUCAAAGGGAGAAGCGCUGAAGCUCUGGUCUCAGUGCUCAACUCUGAAACCUCCAGUCUGAGAGAACUGCAUCUGACUGUGAAGACACUGGAUCUGUCUGGGAAUAAACUAGAAGACUCAGGAGUGAAGCGUCUCUGUGCUGUACUGGAGAAUCCUCACUGUGAAGUGGAGACAGUGAAGUUGCGAGGUUGUGGUGUCUCAGAUGAAGGCUGUGCUGCUCUGAGUUCAGCUCUGAGAUCAAACCCCUCACACCUGAGACAACUGGAUCUGUCUAAGAAUAAACUGGGAGAAUCAGGAGUGAAGCAUCUCUGUGCUGUACUGGAGAAUCCUCACUGUAAACUGGAGAUACUGGGGAUCAGUUGUGAUACGAUCAAAGGGAGAAGCGCUGAAGCUCUGGUCUCAGUGCUCAACUCCGAAACCUCCAGUCUGAGAGAACUGCAUCUGACUGUGAAGACACUGGAUCUGUCUGGGAAUAAACUAGAAGACUCAGGAGUGAAGCGUCUCUGUGCUGUACUGGAGAAUCCUCACUGUAAAGUGGAGACACUGAAGUUGUGGGGUUGUGGUGUCUCGGAUGAAGGCUGUGCUGCUCUGAGUUCAGCUCUGAGACCAAACCCCUCACACCUGAGAGAACUGGAUCUGACUAAUAAUAAUCUGGGAGACUCAGGAGUGAAGCGUCUCUGUGCUGUACUGGAGAAUCCUCACUGUAAACUGGAGAUACUGGGGAUCAGUUGUGAUACGAUCAAAGGGAGAAGCGCUGAAGCUCUGGUCUCAGUGCUCAACUCCAAAACCUCCAGUCUGAGAGAACUGCGUCUGACUGUGAAGACACUGGAUCUGACUAAUAAUAAACUAGAAGACUCAGGAGUGAAGCGUCUCUGUGCUGUACUGGAGAAUCCUCACUGUAAAGUGGAGACACUGAGGUUGUGGGGUUGUGGUGUCUCAGAUGAAGGCUGUGCUGCUCUGAGUUCAGCUCUGAGAUCAAACCCCUCACACCUGAGAGAACUGGAUCUGACUAAUAAUAAUCUGGGAGACUCGGGAGUGAAGCGUCUCUGUGCUGUACUGGAGAAUCCUCACUGUAAACUGGAGACACUGAAGUUGCGGGGUUGUGGUGUCUCGGAUGAAGGCUGUGCUGCUCUGAGUUCAGCUCUGAGAUCAAACCCCUCACACCUGAGAGAACUGGAUCUGACUAAUAAUAAUCUGGGAGACUCAGGAGUGAAGCGUCUCUGUGCUGUACUGGAGAAUCCUCACUGUAAACUGGAGACACUGGGGUUGUGGGGUUGUGGUGUCUCAGGUGAAGGCUGUGCUGCUCUGAGUUCAGCUCUGAGAUCAAACCCCUCACACCUGAGACAACUGGAUCUGUCCUUUAAUAAUCUGGGAGACUCAGGAGUGAAGCAUCUCUGUGCUGUACUGGAGAAUCCUCACUGUAAACUGGAGACACUGGGGUUGUGUGGUUGUGGUGUCUCAGAUGAAGGCUGUGCUGCUCUGAGUUCAGCUCUGAGAUCAAACCCCUCACACCUGAGACAACUGAAUCUGACUGAGAAUAAUCUGGGAGACUCAGGAGUGAAGCGUCUCUGUGCUGUACUGGAGAAUCCUCACUGUAAACUGGAGACACUGUGGUUGUGGCACUGUGGUGUCUCAGAUGAAGGCUGUGCUGCUCUCGCUUCAGCUCUGAGAUCAAAUCCCUCACACCUGAGGGGCCUGGAUCUGAUUGGGAAUAAAAUAGGAUACUCAGGAAAGAAGCUGCUCUCUGCUCUUCAGGAUGAUAAACAUUACAAACUACAGGAACUCUGGAUCAGUUGUGAUACGAUCAAAGGGAGAAGCGCUGAAGCUCUGGUCUCAGUGCUCAACUCAGAAACCUCCAGUCUGAGAGAACUGCAUCUGACUGUGAAGACACUGGAUCUGUCUGGGAAUAAACUAGAAGACUCAGGAGUGAAGCGUCUCUGUGCUGUACUGGAGAAUCCUCACUGUAAAGUGGAGACACUGGGGUUGUGGGGUUGUGGUGUCUCAGAUGAAGGCUGUGCUGCUCUGAGUUCAGCUCUGAGAUCAAACCCCUCACACCUGAGAGAACUGGAUCUGUCUAAGAAUAAUCUGGGAGACUCAGGAGUGAAGCGUCUCUGUGCUGUACUGGAGAAUCCUCACUGUAAACUGGAGAUACUGGGGAUCAGUUGUGAUACGAUCAAAGGGAGAAGCGCUGAAGCUCUGGUCUCAGUGCUCAACUCAGAAACCUCCAGUCUGAGAGAACUGCAUCUGACUGUGAAGACACUGGAUCUGUCUGGGAAUAAACUAGAAGACUCAGGAGUGAAGCGUCUCUGUGCUGUACUGGAGAAUCCUCACUGUAAAGUGGAGACACUGGGGUUGCGGGGCUGUGGUGUCUCAGAUGAAGGCUGUGCUGCUCUGAGUUCAGCUCUGAGAUUAAACCCCUCAUACCUGAGAGAACUGGAUCUGUCUAAGAAUCAUCUGGGAGACUCAGGAGUGAAGCGUCUCUGUGCUGUACUGGAGAAUCCUCACUGUAAACUGGAAAAACUGAGGUUGUGUGGUUGUGGUGUCUCGGAUGAAGGCUGUGCUGCUCUGAGUUCAGCUCUGAGAUCAAACCCCUCACACCUGAGACAACUGGAUCUGUCUAAGAAUAAUCUGGGAGACUCAGGAGUGAAGCAUCUCUGUGCUAUACUGGAGAAUCCUCACUGUAAACUGGAGACACUGGGGUUGUGGGGUUGUGGUGUCUCAGAUGAAGGCUGUGCUGCUCUGAGAUCAGCUCUGAGAUCAAACCCCUCACACCUGAGAGAACUGGAUCUGUCUAAGAAUAAACUGGGAGACUCAGGAGUGAAGCGUCUCUAUGCUGUACUGGAGAAUCCUCACUGUAAACUGGAGAUACUGGGGAUCAGUUGUGAUACGAUCAAAGGGAGAAGCGCUGAAGCUCUGGUCUCAGUGCUCAACUCAGAAACCUCCAGUCUGAGAGAACUGCAUCUGACUGUGAAGACACUGGAUCUGUCUGGGAAUAAACUAGAAGACUCAGGAGUGAAGCGUCUCUGUGCUGUACUGGAGAAUCCUCACUGUAAAGUGGAGACACUGAGGUUGCGGGGUUGUGGUGUCUCAGAUGAAGGCUGUGCUGCUCUGAGUUCAGCUCUGAGAUCAAACCCCUCACACCUGAGAGAACUGGAUCUGUCUAAGAAUAAUCUGGGAGACUCAGGAGUGAAGCGUCUCUGUGCUGUACUGGAGAAUCCUCACUGUAAACUGGAGAUACUGGGGAUCAGUUGUGAUACGAUCAAAGGGAGAAGCGCUGAAGCUCUGGUCUCAGUGCUCAACUCCGAAACCUCCAGUCUGAGAGAACUGCAUCUGACUGUGAAGACACUGGAUCUGUCUGGGAAUAAACUAGAAGACUCAGGAGUGAAGCGUCUCUGUGCUGUACUGGAGAAUCCUCACUGUAAAGUGGAGACACUGGGGUUGCAGGGCUGUGGUGUCUCAGAUGAAGGCUGUGCUGCUCUGAGUUCAGCUCUGAGAUCAAACCCCUCACACCUGAGAGAACUGGAUCUGUCUAAGAAUAAUCUGGGAGACUCAGGAGUGAAGCGUCUCUGUACUGUACUGGAGAAUCCUCACUGUAAACUGGAAAAACUGAGGUUGCGGGGCUGUGGUGUCUCAGAUGAAGGCUGUGCUGCUCUGAGAUCAGCUCUGAGAUCAAACCCCUCACACCUGAGAGAACUGGAUCUGUCUAAGAAUAAACUGGGAGACUCAGGAGUGAAGCGUCUCUGUGCUGUACUGGAGAAUCCUCACUGUAAACUGGAGAUACUGGGGAUCAGUUGUGAUACGAUCAAAGGGAGAAGCGCUGAAGCUCUGGUCUCAGUGCUCAACUCCGAAACCUCCAGUCUGAGAGAACUGCAUCUGACUGUGAAGACACUGGAUCUGUCUGGGAAUAAACUAGAAGACUCAGGAGUGAAGCGUCUCUGUGCUGUACUGGAGAAUCCUCACUGUAAAGUGGAGACACUGGGGUUGUGGGGUUGUGGUGUCUCAGAUGAAGGCUGUGCUGCUCUGAGUUCAGCUCUGAGAUCAAACCCCUCACACCUGAGAGAACUGGAUCUGUCUAAGAAUAAUCUGGGAGACUCAGGAGUGAAGCGUCUCUGUGCUGUACUGGAGAAUCCUCACUGUAAACUGGAGAUACUGGGGAUCAGUUGUGAUACAAUUAAAGGGAGAAGCGCUGAAGCUCUGAUCUCAGUGCUCAACUCCGAAACCUUCAGUCUGAGAGAACUUCAUCUGACUGUGAAGACACUGGAUCUGUCUGGGAAUAAACUAGAAGACUCAGGAGUGAAGCGUCUCUGUGCUGUACUGGAGAAUCCUCACUGUAAAGUGGAGACACUGAAGUUGUGGCGUUGUGGUGUCUCAGAUGAAGGCUGUGCUGCUCUGAGAUCAGCUCUGAGAUCAAACCCCUCACACCUGAGAGAACUGGAUCUGUCUAAGAAUAAACUUGGAGACUCAGGAGUGAAGCGUCUCUGUGCUGUACUGGAGAAUCCUCACUGUAAACUGGAGACACUGGGGUUGUGUGGUUGUGGUGUCUCAGAUGAAGGCUGUGCUGCUCUGAGUUCAGCUCUGAGAUCAAACCCCUCACACCUGAGAGAACUGGGUCUGUCUAAGAAUAAUCUGGGAGACUCAGGAGUGAAGCGUCUCUGUGCUGGACUGGAGAAUCCUCACUGUAAACUGGAGACACUGAAGUUGUGGAGCUGUGGUGUCUCAGAUGAAGGCUGUGCUGCUCUGAGUUCAGCUCUGAGAUCAAACCCCUCACACCUGAGAGAACUGGAUCUGACUAAUAAUAAUCUGGGAGACUCAGGAGUGAAGCGUCUCUGUGCUGUACUGGAGAAUCCUCACUGUAAACUGGAGACACUGUGGUUGUCUAAUUGUAGUGUCUCAGAUGAAGGCUGUGCUGCUCUCGCUUCAGCUCUGAGAUCAAACCCCUCACACCUGAGAGAACUGGGUCUGAUUGGGAAUGACAUGGGAGACUCAGGAAAGAAGCUGCUCUCUGCUCUUCAGGAUGAUAAACAUUACGAACUACAGAUACUCUGGGUGUGGUGAACAUGUGUGUGUGAGAUGAAGACUCUGGUGUUCCUGCAUUUCCAUGUUGGGAAACAGACAACACCAUUCAUAAACACGUCAGUCGUUUAGUUCUAACAAAUGAAAGAGACUUGGAGACGUGGUCAGUGUGUGUUCAUGGUGCACAGUGAAUCAGACUGCACACAAUUCUACACUGAAUGUGGAACAACUUGUGAUCUGCAUGAAACUGCCUGGACCUCAGUCCCUUAAAAACCCUGAAAGAGCACGUGAAAAAGCACAGGGACUCGAGUUGAACCCAGUCAGUGGAAGAUGGAGCUGAAAUGGACAGGAACAGUUUGAGGACAUUGGUGGGAUUCUCACCUGACAGGAUCGGCAUUUGGGAAGUUAAUCUGAGGAAGCCCCGAGGAGACUCACUACAAGGCACAUUUAUCACUUUGUCCUUUGGUUGGUAUUUAAUAUACUCACUGAGCACUUUAUUAGGAACACCUGGAUGGAACCACCUUGUUGAUGAGAGGGUUCACCGGAGAACGGCCAGACUGGUUUAAGCUGACAGAAAGGCUACAGUAACUCAGAUAACCACUCUGUACAAUUGUGGUGAGCAGAAAAGCAUCUCAAAAUGCACAACACACUGAACACUGAGGUGGAUGACCACGUUGGGUUCCACUUCUGUCAGCCAAGAACAGAAAGCUGAGGCUGCAGUGGGCACAGGAUCACCACAACUGGACAGGUGAAGAGUGAAAAAACGUAGCCUGGUCUGAUGAACCUCGAUUUCUGGGAGGCUCACAGAUGGUGGCGUCAGAAUUUGGCACCGACAGCAUGAAUUAGUGUUCCUAAUAAUGUGCUCUGUGACUGUAGAUUAGAUCUUUUUGUUACAGGGUCAGACCAAAGCUGUUCAUUUUUGUUCUCUUCUAAACUUUUUUCCUCUAGAUUUUAAAGAAAUUAUAUACAGGGAUGAGAAUUUUCCGCCGAUUGGCGGAUUUCCGACUUUUUCAGACCAAAAUGAUCGUUUUUGAGAUUGAUGUAAAUCCGUUGAGAAUUUUUUUUUUUUUUUUUGGGGGGGGUAUGAUUAACGAUCUGUGGUCACCUUAUAACGCAGACAUCCCAAGUCUCCCGGAAGUUCCGGGAGUCUCCUGCAUAUUGAUAGAAGCGAGCAAGAGCGUGCGCGCGCAACAUUAAGGUCUGCAUCACGCAUCUUAGAGUGUGCGCGCGAGGGGGUGCGCGAGGGAGACUGUAUGCAGUGUUGCCAGAUACUGCUGACGUUUUCCAGCUCAAAAUAUGUUCAAAACCCCGCCAAAAUGCACUUAAAAGCACCCAAUCUAGCAACACUGCCUGUGUGCCUGUUCAUGUGUGCAUGCCAAACAAAGAGCAUCUUGAUUGGGUUACUCAGCAAAAUAAGCCAAUCAGCUUUCAGUGUGGGCGGGCUUUUAUCUCUUUUCUCGAGGACCGGAGUUUGUCAGUGCAGCCUACAGGAUCGGCAUGGCAGAGAGAGAGAGCGCGCGCCCCAAAAAAUAUAUAUCAAUUACACGUCAUAUAUAAGUGUGUAUCUUUUAUAAAUGGGGUUAGCUUAUCUAAUGUAGCAUGUUGGGGAGAAUCAUAGUAUCAUAUCUAUAUUUCUGAUAAAAUUUUAGGUAUGAUAGCAUGUAUAACUCUCCUACUUAUUGCUCAUUUCAUAGGGGGAAUUGCUGGUAUGUGCCGCGCGGGAGCGUCUGCCCACAUUUUUUAGGCCGAGAUGAACUUAUAAUUUUUGAUUUAAAAAAAAUUUCCAAUAUGUAAUGCCCAUUGUACAUGCCUGUUCUUUAAUUCAAAAUCACCAUCUCGAUCUUCAAAUUGACCAUAUGGUAUCUGUAUUACAUUACACAACAUCCUGUCCAGAUAAAACCUAGUUAGUCCACACAACAGUUGAAAGGGAAGUGAUAAGUGAUGUUGAAUGUUGCCUGCUUAAUAUGCAAGACCUCCUGCUACCACGAUAACAUCAGAAGAAAGCUUAAGAGAAUUAUAUGAUAGAACUUUUUUCUGGUUUGCACUUCAUUUUAAAGGAUUGGAGUAUUCAAAGAUGAAUCACAAAAAUGCAGAAAUAUAAUACUGUCGAGCUCGUUUAUAUUAAAAGGUGCAUUGAUUUUUUGAAAUCAUCAAAUGUGAAUUGAUUAAAAAAAAGUCUCUUGUACCAUAUUAAUCAUUUUCACCUGGGAGUCCACCAAGAAGGGGAAUUUAUUUCCAAAUAAAUUGCAAAUUUUUGCUGAUAAAAUUAAUGGUUUUGGGGUAAAAAAAAAAAGCCAAAAAUAAUUAGCCCCAUGGGCCCCGCCCCCCUCGUGCCCCGCCCCGGUUUUUUCAGACUUUUAAAAUAUUUUUCAUUCUCAUCCCUGUAUAUAAAUACCGCGUGAUUUAUUUUCUGUUGUAUAAAAUUAGUUUCUGUAUUUAAACUUUUUUUUUUUUUAGCAAAAAAAGCCAACAGUUAUUGAAAAUAAAUUUAUGCGCAACGCUUGGGUGUUAGUACUCGGACGGAAAAAUGGAUUUCCAUCAAAAUCAAAUCGCGAAACUUUCAUUUUCAGUAUCUGUGUAAUUUCUGAUUUAUUGUAAGUGUGAAGGCAGCCAUAGAAAGUAAUGGCUACCCUUUAUGUUCUUUUUGUUUUUACAUAUUAAAAUAUUGCACAUAUUUGAUAUUAAUUGAUUGUAUUAAACAUGUAAUGGACUUUAUUUAAAAGAGAAACAUUGUAAAGAUGAACAUUGUAAUGGUUUGAGUGGACUCAGUCUCCCAUGAUGCAUUUAUGUAUGUCACUUCCUGUGAAAUGUUUUGUUGGGGUAUCCGCUGGAGGGAAAGAUGGAUGUGGAAGAGCGAAACGGGGAGCGGCUUGGUGCACGAGGAAAGUGUUGUCGUUUGACUACGAAAAAAAGAGGGUGCUGGUGAAGGAGCUUGGAGCUGGCUGAGAUGAGUGGAGGAAGUGUCAUAAAGGCGGUUGGUGACAACUGGACUGGGAAUGGUCAGAAGUUUGCAAAGGGAAGUGAUGUUUCAGGAAGUUUCAGGCACAAUUAAACUGUUCACAUCCUGUGGCUCAGUCUUUCACCAAAGAGGUAAUUGUUCUGCCAGACCAUACAUCUGCACGUGU
This is an RNA transcript of Neoarius graeffei (lesser salmon catfish), 10524 nucleotides long. It is a transcript of the gene named protein NLRC5-like, with no coding region annotated. The transcript is spliced from 36 exons. The record is from RefSeq and is a predicted model, not a curated record. NCBI's taxonomy places the organism in Eukaryota, Metazoa, Chordata, Actinopteri, Siluriformes, Ariidae.